CAGUAGCCACGGUAAUACAGAGGGUGCGAGCGUUAAUCGGAUUUACUGGGCGUAAAGCGUGCGUAGGCGGCUUCUUAAGUCGGAUGUGAAAUCCCUGAGCUUAACUUAGGAAUUGCAUUCGAUACUGGGAAGCUAGAGUAUGGGAGAGGAUUGUAGAAUUCCAGGUGUAGCGGUGAAAUGCGUAGAGAUCUGGAGGAAUACCGAUGGCGAAGGCAGCCAUCUGGCCUAAUACUGACGCUGAGGUACGAAAGCAUGGGGAGCAAACAGGAUUAGAUACCCCUGUAGUCCCUGUCUCUUAUAA
This 301-nucleotide ribosomal RNA is filed under the name uncultured bacterium. RNAcentral describes it as "partial 16S ribosomal RNA". It matches the Rfam family "Bacterial small subunit ribosomal RNA", at positions 509 to 809 of the family's 1533-position model. The record is from RNAcentral.